This is a non-coding RNA of Phacochoerus africanus (Common warthog), 1244 nucleotides long. Lineage: Eukaryota; Metazoa; Chordata; Mammalia; Artiodactyla; Suidae. The record is from the annotation of a RefSeq genome assembly.
CCCGCUAGACCCACCACUUCCUUCCCCUCACAUUUCAGGCCAUGCCCUCUUUCCACUGACUUGGGGCACCCAGCCACCAGGUCCCACGUUCUUUCUCCUUGAGUUUAUACAGUCCGGCAGGCAGACAGAAUGUCAGUGCUGGAAGCAUUUACCUUCCUCUCCUUCUGGGCUCUUGGACUUAGCUUAUCCAGAGUGGAGCAGUCCCAGAUAUCUGUGUCCACAGAAGUAAAGAAAAGUGUCGACAUAAAUUGCAAGAUAGAGAGCACGAAUUUUCCAACAGAAGCUGUUCACUGGUACCGGCAGAGAACAAAUCAGGCUUUGGAGCAUCUGAUUUACGUGACCUCGGUAACAGCACCAGCUCAAAACCAAAUAGGUGGAAAGAGCAACAAAGUUGUGGCAAGGAAAAAUUCUCAAACGUUCACUUCAACCCUUACGGUAAAUUUCAUAGAAAAAGAAGAUGUAGGCAUUUACUACUGUGCUGGCUGGAACGUAAAAGUCUUCGGGGAUGGAACAAAACUUGCUGUUACGGGCACUAUAAGCUGGAAGUACAGCUUUAAUAUUGCCCUCCUGAAAAAUCCAGUGCAUUUCAGACGUGGAAUUGAGAAGUUGUACAAAAUAAGAAAUCAACGAAGAGAAAUUCUUCACUUCAGAACUGGGCAUGGACUCCCAUUGGAAGCUGAAUUUCAACUUGAUAGAUUGUCAAGUGAAGAUGGAUGUAGAUUCCCAUUAAUACAAGCAACUGCAUGUUGUUUAAAAAAUGAUAUUCCUUUCCUGACAUUUAUUUAUAUAGGAAUUAAAUAUGGUGCCUUUCAGAAUCAGUUAAAUGAAGAGUGAGCUUCCACAGAGCUGCAGAACAUAUGUGGAAAAGAGAGCAUAAAUUACAAAACAUGAUGAGAUAGGAAAGGGAAGUAGUUUAGAAGCGACCAAAGAUUCUGACCUGUAAAGAAACCAUCAAAGUUGCCUGGUCUUCUGCCCCACCCCCAUCCCCGCCACCACUCUCAUCCACCUUAAAACAGCUUCGGCUAUGAUAAAACAAAAGAGGUUUAAGAAAAGUGACGUGUUCAUGAAUGCUGCAAGUAUAGAUACAGGGCAGUUUUAAGCCAUAUUCCAACUCAGCAAAUGGACAAGAAGCAAAGCUAAGGUGUGAGCCAGCCUCUGCUCCUGAACAGCUGUGACUCUGGGAAAGUUAUAUCACCUCUCCAACAUCUCUUCCUGUUGAAAAUGAGAACUAUAAUAAGAACCUC